Molecule: long non-coding RNA, 1313 nt
Filed under: Heterocephalus glaber (naked mole-rat)
Lineage: Eukaryota; Metazoa; Chordata; Mammalia; Rodentia; Bathyergidae
Description: lncRNA (ENSHGLG00000040127.1)
Source: RNAcentral
AAGCUGUUAAAUAAUGAUUUUAAAGUCAUGAAAUAUAAUUGUACGUUACCUGAUAAAAGUUCUGCAUAUUUUUUUUACAUGAUGAUAAUUAUAAAGUCAUGAAUAUAAUGAUCAGUUAUUUUGAAAAAGAAAAUUGGCUUUCUAAUAAUCCCUACCUACAGGUUUGGUUUUUACCAUCCAAAAUGAAUUAAUAUAUGUUCCAUGUGUUACUUUAAAAUAUAAACUACUCUACAUUGAAUCUAUUCUUACUCUAAAAUUUGGGCUGGAUUUAAAUUCAGUUUAACUGGUUAAAUGAAAUGAUUUUACCGUGCUGAUUAUUUUUCCUCAAGAUAAUUUGGCUAUCCUGAGCUACAAUUUCUAAAGGAUUUUUACUACUUUGGCUUUAUGUAAUCUGUUCUCUGUAACAAGGGACAAGUAAACAAGAAAUGUCCCACUCAUGUUUGCUUCAUAAAAGGAUAUGGAAUGUGUACAUCAGGGGUUUGUGUUUUCUUUUUUUAAACCAGCAUCAGCCUAUAGCUUUGCUGUAAACUUUCCAAGUAUUGAGCGAAUGGUGCUGGUGAAAAUUUAAAUAGGUUUGUAGAAAUUCUCUCUACUGAGUGAUGUCCUCUCAACCUAGGACUAGUGAUAAUCUUCAUCUUUUGAGCUGAAGAAAAAAACUGCACAUUUAAGAUCAUAUUUAUUGGUGCAUGUAAGCCGUUAUCCUGUCUUACAGAACUGAUUAAUGCUGUUGAUUGUUGAAAUGUGAAAUGUAGUCAGUCACUGUUCAUCUUGUAAAUAUCUGCCAGAGAUGAAAAAAUAUUUUAAGUUAUUGUAAAUAAAGAUGUAUAAAGUUCAGUGUCAGUCUGCAAUGCAGAAACAUAAUCUAAGAUGUUAAAUACUGUGUUUCUUGACAGUUGUGUAAUACUAGGUGUAUCUAGUUAUAUUAAUGUAAAUUUUCUUUUGUACAGUAUAAAAAUACAGCUCUAUUUGGCUUUUAACUGGAUUUCCUUGAGUUUUUAUACAGUAGUCCUUUCUAUUCAGAGUAUGCCAUUUUAUUUUUGUAUAUCUGAACUUUUAUGCCCUAUUAAAGGCAAUGUAUAAAAUUACAUAUAACAUUAUAAAAUAAGAAAUAACAAAUGGAAGAGUGAAAUUAAUACAUAAAACAUGGGUGUAUAUAUGUUUGUGUGUGUGUGGUGCUGGAGAUGUCCCAGACAUUUCUGUAUAUUAAUUGUAGGAACUUGAAUUUGCACUGAACUCUUCUUUUUUUGCAGUACUGGGUAUUGAACUCAUUUGGUUGCACAUGUUAGGCAAGCCUUUUUUUUUUUUGUACUGGG